Molecule: transfer RNA, 75 nt
Filed under: Acidipila sp. EB88
Lineage: Bacteria; Pseudomonadati; Acidobacteriota; Terriglobia; Terriglobales; Acidobacteriaceae
Description: tRNA-Val
Rfam family: tRNA
About the family: Transfer RNA (tRNA) molecules are approximately 80 nucleotides in length. Their secondary structure includes four short double-helical elements and three loops (D, anti-codon, and T loops).
Source: RNAcentral
GGGCGCAUAACUCAGCGGUAGAGUGCCACCUUCACACGGUGGAAGUCCAAGGUUCAAGUCCUUGUGCGCCCACCA